UGCCCCGUGGCUGAGUUGGUUACAGCGGUUGACUGUUAGAAGCACUGAGAGGUGAAUAUAGCUGAUCAGACGGUCGAGAGUUCGAGUCUCUCCGGGGCAG
Molecule: non-coding RNA, 100 nt
Organism: Cryptococcus depauperatus CBS 7841
Lineage: Eukaryota; Fungi; Basidiomycota; Tremellomycetes; Tremellales; Cryptococcaceae
Source: Rfam